Molecule: long non-coding RNA, 332 nt
Organism: Herpailurus yagouaroundi (jaguarundi)
Lineage: Eukaryota; Metazoa; Chordata; Mammalia; Carnivora; Felidae
Exons: 2
Source: RefSeq, a predicted model, not a curated record
ACAGAUUGUGCAGACCUGGCCAAGAUUAAGGCUGGAGACCUUCUCAGAAAGAAAGAAGAACUGCUGAAACAGCUGGAAGACCUGAAAGUGGAGCUGUGGCAGCAAACUCAGAAAGAGAAGCUCAGGAAAUUCUACAAAGGUAAAAAGCACAAGCCUUUGGAUAUGUGGCCCAAGAAGACACAUGCCAUGGUCCACCAACUUAACAAGCACUAGGAGAACCUGAAGACCAAGAAGCAGCAGCAAGUAUGCGGUCAAGACAUGAGCAUCGGCGUCAAUAAAGCACAAACUGAAAAGUAAAAUAAAAUAAAAAAAAUAAAAAUGAGUUGCCCUUA